UACGUAGGGACCAAGCGUUGUUCGGAUUCACUGGGCGUAAAGGGUGCGUAGGCGGUCGGGUAAGUCUGACGUGAAAUCUUCAAGCUCAACUUGGAAACUGCGUCCGAUACUAUUCGGCUAGAGGAAUGGAGGGGAGACUGGAAUACUUGGUGUAGCAGUGAAAUGCGUAGAUAUCAAGUGGAACACCAGUGGCGAAGGCGAGUCUCUGGACAUUUCCUGACGCUGAGACGCGAAAGCGUGGGGAGCAAACAGG
This 253-nucleotide ribosomal RNA is filed under the name uncultured bacterium. RNAcentral describes it as "partial 16S ribosomal RNA". It matches the Rfam family "Bacterial small subunit ribosomal RNA", at positions 524 to 776 of the family's 1533-position model. The record is from RNAcentral.